RNAcentral lists this transfer RNA (74 nucleotides) under Spinacia oleracea (spinach). It matches the Rfam family "tRNA". From Rfam's summary of the family: Transfer RNA (tRNA) molecules are approximately 80 nucleotides in length. Their secondary structure includes four short double-helical elements and three loops (D, anti-codon, and T loops). Further hydrogen bonds mediate the characteristic L-shaped molecular structure. tRNAs have two regions of fundamental functional importance: the anti-codon, which is responsible for specific mRNA codon recognition, and the 3' end, to which the tRNAs corresponding amino acid is attached (by aminoacyl-tRNA synthetases). tRNAs cope with the degeneracy of the genetic code in two manners: having more than one tRNA (with a specific anti-codon) for a particular amino acid; and 'wobble' base-pairing, i.e. permitting non-standard base-pairing at the 3rd anti-codon position. Lineage: Eukaryota; Viridiplantae; Streptophyta; Magnoliopsida; Caryophyllales; Amaranthaceae. The record is from Rfam by way of RNAcentral.
AGCCUAUUAGCUCAAUAUGGUAGAGCAUUGUGUGACCACACACAAAGAUGUAGGUUCAAUUCCUACAUAGGCUA